Molecule: transfer RNA, 76 nt
Filed under: Paracoccaceae bacterium
Lineage: Bacteria; Pseudomonadati; Pseudomonadota; Alphaproteobacteria; Rhodobacterales; Paracoccaceae
Description: Rhodobacteraceae bacterium (marine metagenome) tRNA-Lys
Rfam family: tRNA
About the family: Transfer RNA (tRNA) molecules are approximately 80 nucleotides in length. Their secondary structure includes four short double-helical elements and three loops (D, anti-codon, and T loops).
Source: RNAcentral
GCCGCGUUAGCUCAGUCGGUAGAGCGCUGGCCUUUUAAGCCAGUGGUCAUGGGUUCGAGUCCCAUACGCGGCGACA